GGAAUUUAAAAGAGUUUGACAAACUAUUAGCAAAUGGGUUUCAAAAUUGCAUUGUUUUCAGUGAAUUCAGGUAUCGCAGAAAAGGCAGAUUACUAAAUGGAUCAUGGGCGCUAGGAAAAUCUUCGCUGCUUGCAAUGCAAGGUUGACCGCCAAGUCCCAUCUACUCUACAGACUUUUGUUAAUAAAAAAGGUCAAAAAAUACUGCAAUAAUUUGGCCCAACUUUUUUCAAUUUUCUGGCCUCUCACCUGAAUGCUUCUUUUGUUGGAGGUAUAAAGAGGGUAUCUCAUCAACCACCAAGUGCACGUGGACAUCGCCGCUUUUAUUUUUGUGACCUGACCACCGUCUGUGAAAAAUACCAUGGGCACACACUGGAUAUUCGGAACCCUUAUGGGCAACGCUUAUCCUGGUUAAAAAU
This 416-nucleotide unclassified non-coding RNA is filed under the name Hevea brasiliensis (rubber tree). Lineage: Eukaryota; Viridiplantae; Streptophyta; Magnoliopsida; Malpighiales; Euphorbiaceae. The record is from RNAcentral.